This 512-nucleotide ribosomal RNA is filed under the name uncultured bacterium. RNAcentral's name for it is "partial 16S ribosomal RNA". It matches the Rfam family "Bacterial small subunit ribosomal RNA", at positions 28 to 507 of the family's 1533-position model. The record is from RNAcentral.
GAUGAACGCUGGCGGCGUGCCUAAUACAUGCAAGUCGAACGAAACUUCUUUAUCACCGAGUGCUUGCACUCACCGAUAAAGAGUUGAGUGGCGAACGGGUGAGUAACACGUGGGCAGCCUGCCCAAAAGAGGGGGAUAACACUUGGAAACAGGUGCUAAUACCGCAUAACCAUAGUUACCGCAUGGUAACUAUGUAAAAGGUGGCUAUACUACCGCUUUUGGAUGGGCCCGCGGCGCAUUAGCUAGUUGGUAGGGUAAAGGCUUACCAAGGCAAUGAUGCGUAGCCGAAUUGAGAGGUUGAUCGGCCACAUUGGGACUGAGACACGGCCCAAACUCCUACGGGAGGCAGCAGUAGGGAAUCUUCCACAAUGGGUGAAAGCCUGAUGGAGCAACGCCGCGUGGGUGAAGAAGGUCUUCGGAUCGUAAAACCCUGUUGUUAGAGAAGAAAGUGCGUGAGAGUAACUGUUCACGUUUCGACGGUAUCUAACCAGAAAGCCACGGCUAACUACGUG